CCUAUAUUUAUAUCCUGUAGUCUUUAUCGAUUAUGUGUUAUUUCUUCUUUGAGCAAAUUAUAGUGUUUCAGGCAGGCGUGCGCCGGAAUACAUUAGCAUGGUAUAAUCGAAUUGGACCGUGUAUCCAUUAUUUGGAUUCCUCCUUAUUUGUUGGUUUAAAGGACACGGAAAUGGUUAAUAGGGAUAGUAUUUAAUCCAGGGGAGGCAUUAGUAUUUAAUUUCCAGAGGUGAAAUUCUUUGAAAUAUUAAAGACUAACUUAUGCGAAAGCAUUUAUUUUGCCAAUAAUGUUUUCAUUAAUCAUUGAACGAAAGUUAGGGGAUCAAAGACGAUCAGAUACCGUCCUAGUCUUAACCAUAAACG
This 361-nucleotide ribosomal RNA is filed under the name Condylostoma magnum. RNAcentral describes it as "partial Eukaryotic small subunit ribosomal RNA". It matches the Rfam family "Eukaryotic small subunit ribosomal RNA", at positions 709 to 1038 of the family's 1831-position model. Lineage: Eukaryota; Ciliophora; Heterotrichea; Heterotrichida; Condylostomatidae. The record is from RNAcentral.